GUGGGGAAUUUUGGACAAUGGGCGCAAGCCUGAUCCAGCGACGCCGCGUGGAGGACGAAGGCCUUCGGGUUGUAAACUCCUUUUGGCGGGGAAGAAUAAAUUGACGGUACCCUCAGAAAAAGCCACGGCUAACUACGUGCCAGCAGCCGCGGUAAUACGUAGGUGGCGAGCGUUACUCGGAAUUACUAGGCGUAAAGCGUAUGUAGGUGGUUAGAUAAGUCUAUGGUGAAAUUUCCUGGCUUAACUGGGAAGGGACAUAGAUACUAUCUGGCUUGAGUGUGGGAGGGGGAGAAGGAAUUCCUGGUGUAGCGGUGAAAUGCGUAGAUAUCAGGAGGAAGACCGAUGGCGAAAGCAGUCUCCUGGCCCAAUACUGACACUGAGGUACGAAAGCUAUGGUAGCAAACAGGAUUAGAUACCCGUGUAGUCC
This 427-nucleotide ribosomal RNA is filed under the name uncultured bacterium. Its description in RNAcentral is "partial 16S ribosomal RNA". It matches the Rfam family "Bacterial small subunit ribosomal RNA", at positions 354 to 796 of the family's 1533-position model. The record is from RNAcentral.